GUUUACGGCCAUACCAGCCUGGGUACGCCCGAUCUCGUCUGAUCUCGGAAGCUAAGCAGGGUCGGGUCUGGUUAGUACUUGGAUGGGAGACCGCCUGGGAAUACCAGGUGCUGUAAGCU
Molecule: ribosomal RNA, 119 nt
Organism: Salmo trutta (river trout)
Lineage: Eukaryota; Metazoa; Chordata; Actinopteri; Salmoniformes; Salmonidae
Source: Ensembl